This 1188-nucleotide long non-coding RNA is filed under the name Homo sapiens (human). RNAcentral describes it as "HSALNT0279458". Lineage: Eukaryota; Metazoa; Chordata; Mammalia; Primates; Hominidae. The record is from RNAcentral.
UGCUCGCUCCGAGGCCGCCGUGUGCGCCUGAGGCUGUUGGCUGCGGUCUUGAAACGGGCUCUGGGAGCUUCCUCUGCGCGGUCGGCCCUGGCUGAGGCGUCCCGGGCUGCGCGCGGGGCUCGGCGCUGCGCAGUGUCCGGUGUCCUCUCGGUCCGGAGCUUCUCCAGAGGAGGAGCGGCUCGUGCGCCCCCAGACCUCCGGUACUGGGAGACUCGGGCCCUCCUGUAAGAGACCUGAGCGCGGAGCGUUAUGGGCACCCGGUGAAUGAGCAAAUGGCAGGGAAAACCGUGCAGCCCCAUGGACUGCGGGCUCUUCCUUCACGACUAGCAAAAGCUUUGACACCCUUUCUCCUGCGUACGCGUGUCUGUGUGCGUGAAAACACAAUAUGUCACCUCCAAAUAUAUUUCCUUGACACGGUUCAAGACAGUUACUCAGAAGGACUGGAAAUAGAAGAAUAGCUGAAAAGCUGUCUUUUGUGGGGGAGAUUUGCAUCUGUGGAGAGAAUCUACACUGAUGCGGCCAGGCCUCCUCUGAGGCCCUCCUUGCCUGAUCUGGGAAGAGUAACAGUCUGACGCCUUUAAAGGCCUGAAGGGAACAUUCACCAUCUGUUCUCUCUCAGGGCUGCUACCUGUGAGGUUUCAUCUGUAGAACAAGGCCACCUUUGCUAGCCAGGCCUCCUCUGCUCUCCCUCCUGUAACCGGUCUUGCCACUGGUCACCUGAUUUUCCACCAUAAACUGUGGCCAUACUUUGAGCCCAUGUUCUUUCUGUAACCUCAAGAUGGUAUAUAAGCUUCCGAACCCCAUUGGGAGGUUGGGGUCAUCACUCUGGUUCUCCCUGUGUGCAUGAAUAAAUCUGUAUGCCUUUUUUCUUACUAACCUGGCUUUUGUCAGUUGAUUUUCUGUGAACUCAGAAUGCAGAAAAGUUUUUCUCUAGGCUCCUACAGUUUUGGUGCAGUCGGUAGGAUAACUAAAGUCACUCUCCUGGGAGCCUCCGUCAGGGGAACCCAGGAGCCGACAAGCUGGCAGAAAGAAGGGUAAGAAGGUCUUAGCAGCCAGGCUCCCGGCCUCUCUGGAAUCUUGUCAAGCCGACGGUAAAAAUGUCUGUUUACCUUGUUUUCCUCUUCAAAGUUUUAAUGAGAGAAAUGUAUUUAUGUGAUUAGUUUUGUAUUCAUAUUGUUUGAUUGCUUU